This 496-nucleotide ribosomal RNA is filed under the name uncultured bacterium. RNAcentral describes it as "partial 16S ribosomal RNA". It matches the Rfam family "Bacterial small subunit ribosomal RNA", at positions 28 to 506 of the family's 1533-position model. The record is from RNAcentral.
GAUGAACGCUGGCGGCGUGCCUAAUACAUGCAAGUCGAGCGAACGGACGAGAAGCUUGCUUUUCUGAUGUUAGCGGCGGACGGGUGAGUAACACGUGGAUAACCUACCUAUAAGACUGGGAUAACUUCGGGAAACCGGAGCUAAUACCGGAUAAUAUUUUGAACCGCAUGGUUCAAAAGUGAAAGACGGUCUUGCUGUCACUUAUAGAUGGAUCCGCGCUGCAUUAGCUAGUUGGUAAGGUAACGGCUUACCAAGGCAACGAUGCAUAGCCGACCUGAGAGGGUGAUCGGCCACACGGGAACUGAGACACGGUCCAGACUCCUACGGGAGGCAGCAGUAGGGAAUCUUCCGCAAUGGGCGAAAGCCUGACGGAGCAACGCCGCGUGAGUGAUGAAGGUCUUCGGAUCGUAAAACUCUGUUAUUAGGGAAGAACAUAUGUGUAAGUAACUGUGCACAUCUUGACGGUACCUAAUCAGAAAGCCACGGCUAACUACGU